UUCCGGUUGAUCCCGCCGGAGGCCAUUGCUAUCAGGGUUUGACUAAGCCAUGCGAGUCGAGAGGUGUAAGACCUCGGCAUACUGCUCAGUAACACGUGGUUAACCUGCCCUAAGGUGGAGAAUACUCCCGGGAAACUGGGGCUAAUGCUCCAUAGUGGAUAUGUCCUGGAAUGGUAUAUCCUCGAAAGAUCCGUCGCCUUAGGAUGGGACUGCGUCCGAUUAGGUUGUUGGCGGGGUAACGGCCCACCAAGCCAUUGAUCGGUACGGGUUGUGGGAGCAAGAUCCCGGAGAUGGAUUCUGAGACAUGAAUCCAGGCCCUACGGGGCGCAGCAGGCGCGCAAACUUUACAAUGCGAGCAAUCGUGAUAAGGAAACCCUGAGUGCCUGUCGAUGCAGGCUGUUCAUAUAUCUAAAUCAUAUGUGAAGAAAGGGCAGGGCAAGACCGGUGCCAGCCGCCGCGGUAAUACCGGCUGCUCGAGUGAUGGCCACUAUUACUGGGUUUAAAGCGUCCGUAGCUUGACUGUUAGGUCUCUUGGGAAAUCUUCACGCUCAACGUGAAGGCGUCUAAGAGAUACCGGCAGUCUUGGAACUGGGAGAGGUAAACCGUACUUCGGGGGUAGGAGUGAAAUCUUGUAAUCCUCGAGGGACGACCUAUGGCGAAGGCAGUUUACCAGAACAGCUUCGACAGUGAGGGACGAAAGCUGGGGGAGCAAACGGGAUUAGAUACCCCGGUAGUCCCAGCCGUAAACAAUGUGCGUUAGGUGUGUCGGUAACCACGUGUUACUGAUGCGCCGAAGAGAAAUCGUGAAACGCACCACCUGGGAAGUACGGUCGCAAGGCUGAAACUUAAAGGAAUUGGCGGGGGAGCACCACAACAGGUGGAGCCUGCGGUUUAAUUGGAGUCAACGCCGGG
This 912-nucleotide ribosomal RNA is filed under the name uncultured Methanocorpusculum sp. RNAcentral's name for it is "bacterial SSU rRNA". It matches the Rfam family "Archaeal small subunit ribosomal RNA", at positions 1 to 922 of the family's 1478-position model. The record is from RNAcentral. Lineage: Archaea; Methanobacteriati; Methanobacteriota; Methanomicrobia; Methanomicrobiales; Methanocorpusculaceae.